RNAcentral lists this transfer RNA (67 nucleotides) under Acropyga panamensis. Its description in RNAcentral is "tRNA-Asp". The record is from RNAcentral. Lineage: Eukaryota; Metazoa; Arthropoda; Insecta; Hymenoptera; Formicidae.
AAAGAAUUAGUUUAAAAUUUUAAAUAUUAAAUUGUCAAUUUAAAGAUAUUUUUACAAAUAUUCUUUA